GAUGAACGCUGGCGGCGUGCUUAACACAUGCAAGUCGAACGAUGAAGCCCAGCUUGCUGUGUGGAUUAGUGGCGAACGGGUGAGUAACACGUGAGUAACCUGCCCUUGACUCUAGGAUAAGCCCGGGAAACUGGGUCUAAUACUGGAUAGGAACGUCUACCGCAUGGUGGGUGUUGGAAAGAAUUUCGGUCAUGGGUGGACUCGCGGCCUAUCAGCUUGUUGGUGAGGUAAUGGCUCACCAAGGCGACGACGGGUAGCCGGCCUGAGAGGGUGACCGGCCACACUGGGACUGCGAGACGCCCCAGACUGGUACGGGAGGCAGCAGUGGGGAAUAUUGCACAAUGGGGGAAAGCCUGAUGAAGCGACGCCGCGUGAGGGAUGACGGCCUUCGGGUUGUAAACCUCUUUCAGUAGGGAAGAAGCGAAAGUGACGGUACCUGCAGAAGAAGCACCGGCUAACUACGUG
This 465-nucleotide ribosomal RNA is filed under the name uncultured bacterium. Its description in RNAcentral is "partial 16S ribosomal RNA". It matches the Rfam family "Bacterial small subunit ribosomal RNA", at positions 28 to 507 of the family's 1533-position model. The record is from RNAcentral.